GUCACUCCCGUGCGACUGCGACGACUGCAGCUCAAUAUUAUAUUAUUUGUGCUUGAUAGAUUCGCGGCUUGUGUCUGUUUUGAGGAUUUUCUGCAUCUCUAGGACACGAUGUUUGUCCGAGUUGGUCAUUAUCAUCGUCCGUUAACACAUGUAUCGAGUCAGAUGAGUUUAGUUAACAGAGUCUUUAGUUUAGCAAUUAUUUAAAACUUCUUUGUUUGUAGGUUAUUGGCUGAAUAUAUAAAACUAACAAGGCUGUGUUGUUGUGGAUGUUUGAUGCAUGUUUAUUUUAAGGGAGUGUUUAUGAUAGUUGGGAGAGAAUGAAAAUGAAAGAAUGGAAGUUUAAAGGAAAAGAUGAAUAAAUAAAUCAUGAUUGCAUUACAGUUCAGUAAAUGUCUAAAUGCAAAUAAACCGCGAAUCACCAAAAAAUAAAAGUUCUGAAAGAUAGAUGGUGACAAACAUCAUGUUGUAACAGACUGAACGCGGAAACAAAGACGAGAAACACGUGUCAGUGAAUCACACGAUCAUUAAAGGUAGUUUUUCCUCACUAUAGUAAAUAAAUCCACAGCAGCGUAUUUGAAAAGCUCCAGAAAGUUGCAGUGGUUUCUCUACUGAAGGACGUCUGGACAGAUGGAGAGUUCACUGACUGGCCCGUAUCUCUUCCAGAACAAUCAACCAAUCAGCAACACUUCUGUUUAUGUCUACUGAAUGAAUAAAACAUGUCAGGAUUUCAGUUUACUGGAUUUAUAUUAAUGUCAUGGUACAGUCAUAUAAAUAUACUUUAUAUUCUUUAAGAAAUAAGAAAAGGUUUGUUAGAUUUACUCUGAUAAAUGAAUAUGGAAAUAUAUAAUCAAGCUGUGUGAAAUCGUGUGUUAUUGGCAGGUCUUUACUCACACUGAGAGUUUACACACACUCUUCAUAACCAGAUGAAACUAUGUGCACGUGUCUGCUGCUCUCCAAAAAUAUGCAUUAUCAAAGACUAUCAAAAGGACUAUUGUGUGAAUUAUUAAUUAUGUUUUCUUGCUGUAUGUGAAUUGAAAGAGCAAAUAAAAUGACUAAGUCUUGAUUUAUUCAGUUAAGAUUAGAAUUGUGUAUUAAACUACAUC
Molecule: long non-coding RNA, 1103 nt
Organism: Xyrauchen texanus (razorback sucker)
Lineage: Eukaryota; Metazoa; Chordata; Actinopteri; Cypriniformes; Catostomidae
Exons: 3
Source: RefSeq, a predicted model, not a curated record